This is a long non-coding RNA of Sapajus apella (tufted capuchin), 126 nucleotides long. RefSeq lists it as uncharacterized. The record is from RefSeq and is a predicted model, not a curated record. The transcript has 3 exons. Lineage: Eukaryota; Metazoa; Chordata; Mammalia; Primates; Cebidae.
UGACACAGGGACCUUAUUUCAGGGAAAAAAUCGGAAAAUAUGGCCAGGAGCUGGUGGUUCACGCCUGUAAUCCCAGCACUUUGGAAGACUGAGGUGGGCAGAUCACCAGGUCAACAGAUCAAGACC